RNAcentral lists this ribosomal RNA (575 nucleotides) under Streptomyces sp. Its description in RNAcentral is "bacterial SSU rRNA". It matches the Rfam family "Bacterial small subunit ribosomal RNA", at positions 247 to 834 of the family's 1533-position model. The record is from RNAcentral. Lineage: Bacteria; Bacillati; Actinomycetota; Actinomycetes; Kitasatosporales; Streptomycetaceae.
UGUUGGUGAGGUAACGGCUCACCAAGGCGACGACGGGUAGCCGGCCUGAGAGGGCGACCGGCCACACUGGGACUGAGACACGGCCCAGACUCCUACGGGAGGCAGCAGUGGGGAAUAUUGCACAAUGGGCGAAAGCCUGAUGCAGCGACGCCGCGUGAGGGAUGACGGCCUUCGGGUUGUAAACCUCUUUCAGCAGGGAAGAAGCGAAAGUGACGGUACCUGCAGAAGAAGCGCCGGCUAACUACGUGCCAGCAGCCGCGGUAAUACGUAGGGCGCAAGCGUUGUCCGGAAUUAUUGGGCGUAAAGAGCUCGUAGGCGGCUUGUCACGUCGGUUGUGAAAGCCCGGGGCUUAACCCCGGGUCUGCAGUCGAUACGGGCAGGCUAGAGUUCGGUAGGGGAGAUCGGAAUUCCUGGUGUAGCGGUGAAAUGCGCAGAUAUCAGGAGGAACACCGGUGGCGAAGGCGGAUCUCUGGGCCGAUACUGACGCUGAGGAGCGAAAGCGUGGGGAGCGAACAGGAUUAGAUACCCUGGUAGUCCACGCCGUAAACGGUGGGCACUAGGUGUGGGCAACAUCC